CCUAUUUCCCCCUUUCUCAUCUCUUAACUUGUCUCUCUCACCUCCGCCGUCCGCCACUCGCCCGAAAAUCGCCUACGGCGGCAGCAACACCCUAAACCACCCCAAAUUGACACCAAAUAAUCUCCAACACCCCUUAAUCAUCAUCCUACCACUAAUUUCCUCAAAAUUCCCACGCUUCUUCUCCAAUUUAGGAUCUAAGAAGUUACAGAAAACCUAAAUUCCCCUAUUUCGAGUGUCCCUAAAUUCCAACCUACCUGAGGUUCAUACCAACCUUAAUUGAACACUCUUGUCAAGAGUUAUCAAAUUGAAGUCAAUUUUGGACCUAUUCUAGGCCACCCGAACCCGGCCACUACCAUGAAAGCCCCAUAAGUUGAUUUCUUUUGCUGCAUAUAGCAUUGGAUAUGCCCUCAAUGUGGGUUAAUGCUCAUGUAGCGAUGCCGGCUAUAGCCGGAUAUCUCUUUUCCCAGGCAGUUUUGUUCAUUAUUGGUAACCCUCCUUUUCACUUCUUUAAUUACUACUUAUCUUAUUUAAUUGCUUGAUAUUUUCUGUUACAUGUUAUAGACAUCAUGUUUAGUUUAGUUUCGAUUUAGUUAAAUUGUCAAUUGAUAAUUGUGUGAAGGUUGCAUCAAUAUAUAAUUGUUAGCAUAUUUCUUUUCCCAAGGUUUAGCAUGUUCUAGGUUAGGUAAGAUUUCAAAUCCAUUGCUUCUAUGUAGGCCAAUAUUUUAGAUGCAUAGUAUGCAGUUUCAAUUAAGUCAAAGUAAUCUUGAUUAGCUAAUUGUAUGUUUAAAUUCGUUUAAUCACCUAAAUAGGCUAAAGUUUGAAUAUUGCUUGUUGUGCUGUGAUUUUUUAUUUAUGAGUUUUUUUGUGAUAGUUGUUUGUAAUUACUGAAAUUCAGAGGUCUAAAAGAAAUGGAAAAAAUGGAGGAAUCUGUUUUGUUUGGUUGGAAAUACAUUAAAAUGGGGAAUAAGUUUAAAUGUUGGGGUAAGAAUUGGAUGAUAAAAAGUUUAAAAGGGUCUGGGAAUAAAAGAAGCUUCUAGACCCAAUCUGUUAAGAAAAGAGAUGAGAGCGAGAGGAAAUAUCCAAACACUGGACAGCGGUCCAUUUUUCUAUUUUAGAAGAUGCCAAUUUCCUAAUUUUAAGGGGAUGCUGGCAGAUUCCCUCAACCUCUCUCGUUCUUUAUCAUUUUGCACUCUUAUACCCUAUAAAAGAGACCUCACACUCCCUCGGACUGGACACACGAAAAAUACCUCAGAAAAUUGAAGACUAUCUUUCAGAAAUUCCUCUUUUCAUUCUCAUUCUGAUUUUCGUUUCUUCUUGAGUUUAAAUCUAUAAAUAGAAAAAAAAAAGAGGAAGAAUUUCAAAGCUGUUGGUUCUUUCCACUUUGCUAUUGGUCUUUUUUUUUGCUCGAAUUAUGAUGGGAUUUCUAGUUGGUUGUUGUUUCUCUUGUUCUUGAAUUGCUGGGAUUCUUCUUUUGUUGGCCACAUUUCAUUUUGUCGAUCUUUUACUCAUGUUGGUUCCUGUUGCUGUAUUUGUUUUUGUUGUUGCCUUUUUUGCCAGUUUCAAAGAUUUAUUUUCUGUCUGUUUUGAUUCUGCUGUAACCAUGUAUGAAGCCGAGCAUCUGUUUCUUCCAUGGUUGUGUACAAGAAGUUUGGAAAUAAUUGUAGGAUUCCAUAUUGAUGCAGGAGUGUUUGUUUAAAACUUCUAAUUUUGUGUUAUGUGGUUUAGUUCCUAGUCGAUAUGUAAUGUUAAACAUUUUUAUUAAAUCUUCGAGUUGGUAUAGUCUAUUGGUAGAUUUGAAGUGAUUUGGAAAACCUGUUUAUUACUUGUGAGUUUAUGACUUGGUUUGAACUUGAGUUUAACACACUUGUGCUGAAGGGUUCUGAAUAGCAAAUUUAACCAUCAAUGAUGUUAUUUUUAGCUUCUUUUGUCAUUAUAGAAGGAUUUGGUUAAAAAAAAUAUAUUUUGUGACAACAGUGGAGUAACAGCAUGUUUGGACGCUCAAACGUAGCCUAGAGAUUAGCCAUUCCAUUUUGGCUUGUUUACUUGUUGGAUAUCCUAUUGUUGUGAUUAAUAGUCAUUUGUUUCUCAUGAACAAUUGAAAGCAUUGGUGACAAACAUAGAAGUCUGGCCAGUGCUUGGCUUGAUUUUUAAGUUCCACUACUUGAAAGUGGUCAUUUAUGUAAUAGGUUAAUUUAUGUAAUAAUUUGUUGCAUCAAUGGUGGAUACAGUUGUAUAAAUUGAAAAAGGAUCGAUAGCUAUUAUUCAGGAGUAUAAAUUUCCAAUCAUGGAAUGCUGUCCUACAGUGACAAAAAAAUAAAGUAUUGUCGAAAAAUGCCUCGCAAAAUGACCAAUUAAAGUCUUCAUUUAUGGCAGGACAAUGGUAUCCAAGGUCAUUAUCUCCCGACGCACAAUGAAUUCUCAGUUGUGGGGAAUCAGAAGGAAGUUUGUUGAUAACAUGUACCUGAAACUUCGUAGUAAAGAUGCAUUUUUUUGCUAUUGAAAGGUUAAGGGGCAUUAACAACAAGAAGAUGUUGAUCAAGGAGAGAGUCAUAUUGAGAAAAUAAUAAGUAUGGCAAAAAGUAAAGGAGGUUCUAGAGUUUUAUACACAAAAUCUUGAUAUGGAUUCCUGCAAUUUGUACCUUUCUGAAAUCCUUUAAUGUUUUUUUUACACUCUCGUUAAAUUUGAUGAAAGAUAAUUAAUUAAGACAUGAUUAAAUUAAAAAAAAUAUUUAUUAUCUAACUGAUUAAAAUUUUAGAUGAUUCAUCAUAUAACUAAAUUCCUAUAUAGACAUUAAAACUUUGAUUGGGUAAAGUCUAUACAAAUUUAAGUUGGCUUUAAGUCCUAAUUAGAGCUGUCAAAAUGGGCCACCCGGUCCAACCCAGUUCAAGUCUCGCGGGCUUUUAAAUUUGGUAGGCUAGGACGGACCGGCCAGCCGUUUGAGUGGCCCUUAAAAUGGCCAGCCCAACCUAGGCCUAAAAAGACCGCAGGCUAGGUUUGAUCAGUCCUUCAUUUUUAUUAAAAGAAAAAUUCUUUAAAUCUUUAAAAAUUUCUUCAUGACAUAUUCUCUUAAUCACGUGAACAACUUCUGUUUGCUUAGAGCAUAUAGCCUGAUAUUUGACAAAGAAUCUCGUAAUUAAAGUGCUAAGUUAUCUAUAACUUUAGUUCUUCUUUUUGUCGUUAGAUGAAUAUUUUUUUAUAAGUUUAUAGACCAAGGUCUUUUAUUUUAGGAUAAACACCAUUUACUAAUUUCAUCAUUAAGUCAAUAAAAAUUUUAAAAUUCAUGAAAAUUUACAAGUAUUAUGAUUUUUUUCGGGUAUUAAAAAAUAAUCUUUUCUAUACUGAAGAAAAUUUAUUUAUUAAUAAUAUAUUAGAGUAAUCCAAAAUGAUCAUUGGCCAACAUAAUAUUUUUCUUUGGGAAAAAUUAUUAUUGGUCAUUUAAAAUUUUCUUAGUUCGUUAUUAAUCAAGCAAAAGAAAUAUUAAUCUUGUCAUACUACAUGUAUAUCAAAAAUCUGAAUUCUAGUUGAUAUGGAAGAGCAAAUGAGCAAUCUAGGGUUGAUGAAUGAAGAUUAUGGUUAAUAGAAUAAAUAUUAAAUAUUUAAAUUUAUUUAAUUAACUUUUGGCUCGUGGGCUGUCCCAAGCCUAGCCUUGGUCAAGCCUCAAGGACUAACACGCACACAUGGCCGAGCUUAUAAGUCUAAGUUUUAAUUAGGAUAAAAAUAUUUUAACCUAGCACUAUCCAAAUAGCGGGCCUGGUUGGGCUGGCCUCACAGGCCAAACUCAUUAUAACGGGCCUAGUCCUAAUUAAAAAAUGAUUGGCACAUAUAAAUAUUAGAAUGAUAUGGAAAUUACAAAAUUACAAUGAAGAAGAUGGAAGAAUCGGUGAUAUAUUCCGUGGCAGAUCCAAUGAUCAUUUCGAGUGCUCAACCGCCCAUUACCAUUGACUAGAUUUAGUAAAUUCGCUUAGGCGAUUAAAAUAUAUUUGGAUAAUAUUGAGUGGCUCACCCAUAAUUAAACUCUUUUUUUCUCUUUUUUCAAACUUUUUAUUGGCUAUCACAUCCAUAACUUUAAAUUUCUGGAUCCGCUACUAAUAUAUUUAUCAUGUAUUUAAUGCACAUUCAUCGAGAAUGAUGGCAAUAAAUUUUCAAGUUUUCGAUGGGCUGCCAGUCCAAAAGAAGGAAAACCACAAGGCUUAGUCACUUCUUCUCCCCUUAGCCAUUGAUGUCCCUACACCCUGUGUAGGGACUUUCCAUCUUGUGUUAGCCCCUACACCUUUUUAAUAAUAUUUAUCCUUUUAUUAUUGUAGAGAAGCAAGUUCUAUCAGUAAAUCAAGCGUAUGCAGUAGCUGUGC
This 4350-nucleotide long non-coding RNA is filed under the name Nicotiana tabacum (common tobacco). Its description in RNAcentral is "long non-coding RNA (NTAB_LNC016097)". The record is from RNAcentral. Lineage: Eukaryota; Viridiplantae; Streptophyta; Magnoliopsida; Solanales; Solanaceae.